Acanthosepion pharaonis is the source of this 112-nucleotide non-coding RNA. The record is from the annotation of a GenBank genome assembly. NCBI's taxonomy places the organism in Eukaryota, Metazoa, Mollusca, Cephalopoda, Sepiida, Sepiidae.
ACGGCCAUAUAGUGUUCAAACGUCGGUUGCCGUAGGAUCACCGAAAUUAAGCAACGUUGAGCCUGGUCAGUACCCAAAUGGGUGACCGCUUGGGAAUACCAGGUGCUGUCAG